UGGCAGCAGCUGCGGAAUCCAGACCAUGGGAGGAGUUUGGAGAGGCUAUGGAAAAUGACUAUUGGUCAGCCUCAAAGAGGUUCUGGAGAACCAUCCGGUGGCUCAGGAGGGGGUCAGAGGAGCCUCGCUCAAGCUGUGCUCAGCAAGAGUGGAGAAACUCUGACCUCUAAUGAAGAUAUUGUCAGGAGGUUGAAGGAGCACUUUGAGGAACUCUUAAACCCGAAAGAUACGCCUCCUUUACAGGAGUCAGGGCCACAGGCUUCUGGGGUAUCAGAGUCCAUUUCCCUGGUGUAAGUCACUGAGGCAGUUGGAAAGCUCCACAGUGGCAAAGCAUCGAAAUGGAUGAGAUUCGCCCGGAACUGCUUAAGGCCCUGGAUGUUGUAGGGCUGGCAUGGCUGACACACCUCUGCAAUGUUGCAUGGACCUUGGGAACAGUGCCUUUGGAUUGGCAAACUAGGGUGGUGGUCCCUAUCACACUUCUCAGCCUCCCUGGGAAAGUCUCUGCUGGGGUGCUGGAGAGGAGGCUCUGGAUUGAAGAGGAACAAUGCGGUUUCCGCCCUGGCCGUGGAACAGUGGACCAGCUUUUUACCCUUUCACAGAUAAUUGAAGGGGCAUGGGAGUUCGCUAAUCCGGUCUACAUGUGUUUUGUGGACUUGAAGAAGGCCUAUGACCGUGUUCCUCGAGAAAUUCUGUGGGAGGUGCUUCGGGAGUAUGGGAUGCCGGGGCCACUACUGCGGGCCAUUGGAUCUCUGUACAGACGGAGCGAGAGCUGUGUCCGCACACUCGGCAUUAAGUCAAGCCCGUUCACUGUGGGUGCUGGACUCUACCAAGGUUGUGCCUUGUCUCCACUCCUGUUUGUGGUUUUCAUGUACAGGAUAUCAAGGCGCAGUCGAGGUCAGGAGGGCAUUCUAUGUAGGAGUCAGAAGGUGAUGUCUCUACUUUUUGCAAAUGAUGUUGUCCUUUUGGCACCGUCACAUGGUUGCCUCCAACAUGCACUGGAACGGUUUGCAGCCGAGUGUGAAGCGGCGGGGAUGAGUAUCAGCACCUCAAAGUCUGAGUCCAUGGUACUGUCACAGAAAAGGAUGGUAUGCCCCCUCCAGGUAAGCGGAGAGUUUUUG
This 1118-nucleotide long non-coding RNA is filed under the name Scleropages formosus (Asian bonytongue). RNAcentral describes it as "lncRNA (ENSSFOG00015028150.1)". Lineage: Eukaryota; Metazoa; Chordata; Actinopteri; Osteoglossiformes; Osteoglossidae. The record is from RNAcentral.